Molecule: ribosomal RNA, 253 nt
Filed under: uncultured bacterium
Lineage: Bacteria
Description: partial 16S ribosomal RNA
Rfam family: Bacterial small subunit ribosomal RNA
Source: RNAcentral
UACGUAGGGUGCAGGCGUUAAUCGGAAUUACUGGGCGUAAAGCGUGCGCAGGCGGUCUUUUAAGUCAGAUGUGAAAUCCCCGGGCUUAACCUGGGAACUGCGUUUGAAACUGGAGGGCUAGAGUGUGGCAGAGGGGGGUGGAAUUCCACGUGUAGCAGUGAAAUGCGUAGAUAUGUGGAGGAACACCGAUGGCGAAGGCAGCCCCCUGGGCUAACACUGACGCUCAUGCACGAAAGCGUGGGGAGCAAACAGG